This 982-nucleotide long non-coding RNA is filed under the name Cricetulus griseus (Chinese hamster). RNAcentral's name for it is "lncRNA (ENSCGRG00000025317.1)". Lineage: Eukaryota; Metazoa; Chordata; Mammalia; Rodentia; Cricetidae. The record is from RNAcentral.
CUCACAUCCCUGUACAACUCUGAACUGAUUUUGCGCCAGAAAGAAAUGCAUCUUUUCCUGAAAAAGUUCUUGCAGUUCUACUCUUCUUCGUGCAUUGAUGAGUUUCCAAAGGAACUUAUUCAAGGUGUGGAAAAAUCCGUUUCACUAGAGAAAUUCCUGUUUGAAACAUCAGGAAAGGUUCAUCGGGAGAAUUCCCUGCAGUCUGAUAUCUCUGGGAAGCUUUUUUGCAGUCCAUCUUACACAGAAGCCUUCUCAGAGAUGGCAGUACAGGCGGUAAACAAAGAACUCUGCUUUCAGUGGUAUAUUCCUCCCCUGGACAAACCUCCAAAGGAUACAGAACCUAUGGUUUUAUUGUUGUAUGCAUACAACUUGAAGCCCCUGAAGAUUUCCGAUAUUAAAGUGCCUACUGCUAACAACCUGUAUGUCGGCACCUCCUGGAUUCCACUGAACAGAGUCAUCUCAAUUCAUGAGAAACUGUCUAAUCUUGCACAAAUUGCUGAGCUAUCAUUGCCAUCGGUUCCUGAAAUUAUUUUAGAAGAAAAUGUGUAUGAAACAGUAGAACCAGAAGAUAAAAUAGUUGAUACAGACAUAGACAACAUGAUCCUGGAUUGUUGCUCUGAAAUAGUGGCUCUGUUUUCCAAGGACCAAGAUCCCACACCACUGUAUGAGGUUCCCUUUGAUAUCUCCCUCCCUGCUAUAUUCAGCCUUGAGAGACUUUUUGAUCUUGCAAAUGGUUGUAUCGUGUCAGUAGGAAGCCUUUUCAACUGGGUGGUGUCAAUUAUCCCCUGAACAUCCUCUACAGGUUAACUCUAAGGGGGCUUUAAUUGUUACUGAUUUUUGUUUGUUUAUUUGAACUAAAUUUCUAAAGUUUUUAAUCUCGUAAAUACCAAUAUUUUCUGUUAUACUGAACUAGAGUUUGUUUAUUUGACUUGGGAAGAAAGCUUUGACCUUCUGUGUUAUAUGCUUCAGAGGGGCAUGUUAC